UAAAAGCCCCUUAUAAAACAAAGGGACUAACUGAGCUGGGGGGGAGGGCUGGAAAGUUUAAAGUAGUAUUUUUUAUGAUAAACAGCCACACCUAGAGGGGCAGCAGUACUGUGAAAACAUCAGGUGUGGUGGCUUGAUUGAGGUGAGGUAGAAGGUAAACUGAGGUCUGUAAUUGGACCAGACCUCAGUUCCUGCAAUGCUUUUGAGGUAGCCUGGCCCAGAAUCUCCUUCCCCAUCAGGUGUGUCAGAGGAAGUGGAAGAAUUGUAGCCUGUGAGUCAUCUUCCUGGAUCCCUAUGCUUCUUUCUAGCUCUGUGCUCUUCUCCAGGUACCUCAGCUGACCAAUCUUUGCUUCUGGCUCAGUGUGCUCCCUGGCUGCAAACUGGACUUCUGUGCUGGCUCCCUGAUCCCCUCAUGCCAUGGAACAGUGCAGAGAGCAUGCACUAUAAUCCAAUUAAUUCUCCUUGGGUGGGGGAGGGGGAAAGAAUAGAAAUUGGAGAGCAAGAGGCAGCUGCAGGCAGCUCCUCGCAGGUCAGGGAGAAAAAGAACUUGUUGGAUGGUUGGCUGGCUGCAGUAACAUCAUGGACUCCUAUGGCAGAAAUGUAUUCCAUUGUAUCUUGGAAAAAUGCCAAAUUCUGAGGACAAAGAAUCACAGUAUCCAUGGGACCCAUUCAGAGCUAUUGUUUCAAUCAAUCUGCAGAUUCAGGUGUGUUGUAUCAAGUCUUGUAUGGAAUAUUGGGACAAAAUGUGUCCUGCGUCUAUGCUGUGCUUCCUCCAUCUCCAUGGCAACCUCCUGUGCAGGACCUAGCCACAACUGCAGUCCCCGAGUGUGAGUCUUCAGCUUUUCCUCACUUAUGCUGCUAGCAACAGUAGCUACUCAAAAAGAGGAGGAGAGGAGGUAGAACUAAUGCCUACAACUCACCUGUGAAACAGUCAGCAGAGGGAACAUAAGCUGAACCCCCUAAAAAUGUGCAGCAAUAGGUAUGCAUCUCUGGAUGUUGGAGUUCUGGAAUGCAAUAUGAAGAAUGCAGCUCUGCCCCAUCACAAAUGCAGGUCAACAUCUUCAAGGCACAACUGAGGCCACAGAGAUGCUGGGGAUUUCCUCAUGCAGAUAGCUGCAAACUUUCCAGGUGACAACAAGGCUAGUAGUUCAAAUAGAUGAUGUUUCAACCUCCAUGAGGCUUGUCAGAAGUAAUGAGCAGUAUUUAGGUGGCAACUUAAAUAAUUCAUGAAAGAUCACUUAAUUUCUAGAGUAAAGGUAAUUUCUAGAGUAAUGGCAUGCAGUCUGGGACAUGCCCAUACAUAGCACUGCAAGGCAACAAAGGAGUUAACAUUGUGGGUUUUUUUGUUUGUUUGUUUGUUUGUUUGUUUUUUUUACUGAAACUUGUUUUUAUGGAAGAGAUUGCUGGAAAGAGUGUUCUCUGUCCCUUGACUCUGGAAAGCUUGAUGUUAGCUUGAUCCCCAGUUUGACCUCAGCUCUGGUUAACCUGCUGGGGUCAUAGCCUGGUUGGAAAAAAUACAAAAGAAAAGAUUUGUAACUGUUCAGUACAUUUCCUGACUGGAUGAGCAUUUUCUGGCUGUCACGGAGCUGACAACAGAUAGUUUAACAAUGAUUAGCAUUGCCUGUAUUUGUGGGGAGUGGGCAUGGCAUGAGCAGGGAUUUUUUUUAUUUCAUGCAUCAUUAAAUGCAUCAUUCAUGCAUCAUGGCUUGCUGCAGGGAUUCCAGAAAGAAAAUGCUAUCUCUAAUAAACAGAAAGGAAGAAAGAUUAACAUUCUUCUUAUACAAAUGGGCACUAUGAAAGGAGUCUCAUUUUAUGUUGAACUCUGUAAUGUAUCUAAUUUGAUUGCAUGGAGCAGACCUUAUUAUCCAGCUGCGAGUAAAAAAAAAAAAAAAGUUAUAAAAGAAAAGAGCUUAGUUCAGAAUUCUUUGUUAUAUUAAGUAUUUGUGCUUCUCAUUUGCUUAAAGAUAGAGUCGUUUCCGUGGAGUGGUUGUGUUGUCUGGUGAACUGCAUAUGGGAAUGGGAACCAGGAACUUCUAAAUUCUAGUCCCAGGUCUGACACUUACUCGUGGGGUGGACUUAAGCAAACCACUUAAGAUGACACUUUCAGACUUGGCUGUGCCUAAAAUUAAAUAUCUACAUCCACAUUAGACAUCUAAAUGAAGUGGUCUGAUUUUCAGCAAUGCGGAGCCUCCACGAACUUUGACAGUUUGCCUUCCUUCCCUUCACCCCCGUGUAGAAUAGCGAUAAUGAAACUUUAAAUUUCCCCUCAGUUAAACAACUUAGUUUGAGCUGUGUGGCUGGAUAGGAAAGGCAUAUUAGAGAAGUUAUGCAAAAAAGAAUUGGCAAGAUAUAGACAUAGUCUGGGUGUGAAGACCACGAGAAGGGUCUGAGUCAAAGAUGACACCCCAGUUAUUGGCCUGAGUAACAGACAGGAGGGUGAUGUGGUCCACACGAGAUGGCAGGGAUGUCUUCAGGGAAAUUAAGAGCUUUGCUCCAACCAUGCUGAGCUUGACCUGAUGGUUAGACAUCCAUGAGUAGAUCUCAAAGAGAGAGGCUGAGGUUUUACUUAGGUUUAGGGUAGAGAGUAGAUCUGUGAGUUGUCAUCAUAGAGAUGGUAGUUAAAUUUGUGUUUGCACAUGAGAUUGCCCAGAGAUAAGGUAUAGAAGGA
This is a long non-coding RNA of Chelonia mydas (Green sea turtle), 2668 nucleotides long. RefSeq lists it as uncharacterized. The record is from RefSeq and is a predicted model, not a curated record. Lineage: Eukaryota; Metazoa; Chordata; Testudines; Cheloniidae. The transcript is spliced from 3 exons.